Paramisgurnus dabryanus is the source of this 1459-nucleotide non-coding RNA. The record is from RefSeq and is a predicted model, not a curated record. NCBI's taxonomy places the organism in Eukaryota, Metazoa, Chordata, Actinopteri, Cypriniformes, Cobitidae.
UUCACGAGGUGCAUGUGGUUGCUUGCGUUAAACGUAUAAACUGUUAAAUUAGAUGGCGACUCUGCAUUAAACGUAUUUAUUUAAUUAAUCGGCGAUCAUAUUUCACCAGAGGACUAAGAUAAAACAACUCGAUUUAAAAUAUGAGCAGUUUUAGUGGAUCUGACGUUGAGGGAAAAAGUAUUUCGCUUUUUGUUUGGAGAUGAACGAGACAACACGAGGCACAGCGACAUAAAUAUGACCAACCAGAUCCCAAGUAGACAGGAACAAAUGAAGAUAUAGCGCAUAGAAAGACUUAUUCUUGGUGAUCAACUGCUAUUGACAUUUUUGAAUCGGGACAAUUGUGGAGUGAUUCGGAAGAAAAACAUUUGCAACACAUCCAUUCCAGGAGCACAGUGGCCCCCAACUGAAAAUUUUAGGGGCGCAACCAGAAAAUUAAGGGGCACACACGAGUGCUCUGACAGAUAAAACUGACACGCUUGAUGAGGACACAGUCAAAGCUUUAAAAGACCGUGUGAUAAAGCAGUCUUCAAUUACUACGGUGUCUGAAUUGCAAGAAGAAUUGACCCUCCACUUAAACAUGUGAUAUCUAAACUGUUUUGUGUUUUAGUUCAGCUUUUUAUAGGUUUAUCUUAAGUUGGUUAAAGGCGGAGUGCACUAUUUUUGAAAGCCAAUGUUAACAUUUGAAAUUACCUAAACAAACAUGCCUCUACCCCAAUAGAAUCUGGACCUUCUUUUGAUAGAGCCACCACACACAUACGCAACCCCGGCAAGGAUGUCGGUUAGUAGACACGCCCCUUACUGCUGGUUGGCUACAAGUGUGUUUUGGUAGUCGGCCCAAUUUCCUUUUCCAAAGCGUUUUUCAAACAUUGUGCACUCCGUCUUUAAAUUGCACUUAAAACAUUUUUUUUUCAGUAACUUUUUAUGCAGAGAAUUACAUUAUGAUUAUUAUAUAAUCAUUGCUUAUGAAUAUUUAGUGAUUGCAUAUUCAUAGUGUACUUUUCAUUAAUACAUUUAAUGUUAAUGUUGUACAAUUUGAUAGAAGUAGCUCUGUAAUUGCAUUUCUCUGAUAUUUGUUUUAUAUUGUUUCUCUUUGGUCAAGAGAUUAUGUAUGUCUCUGUGCUUGAUUAAUUUACUUUAGAUAUUUUUGUAAUGUACACAACACAAUAUGAAGUAUAUUAAAUUGUUCUGUAUUCAAAAUAUGUGUAUGUGUCUUAAUAUUUAAUGAUUUUAAUAUAACAUUUUAAAUAUUAAAAACAGCUUUAUAAUAAAAUAGUAGUGUAAUGCUAAUACAUUUCUAUUAAUGUAAUGCUAGUAUAUUUCUAAUAUGCUGAAGUACUAUUAAAGUGUUCUUAAAGCACAGUUAAAUUAAGCUUUAAAUGUAUUCUAACUGUAUUUUUAAGUGUAUGAGAAGUGCAUUUCAAAUGAAUUUUAAAGAAGUACACUUAAAUUGCACUAAAUA